GUAAGGUAUUGGCUUACCGUGGCAGUGACGGUUAACGGGGGAUUAGGGUUCAAUUCCGGAGAGGGAGCCUGAGAAACGGCUACCACAUCUAAGGAAGGCAGCAGGCGCGCAAAUUACCCAAUUCUAACAGCAUAAGAGAGGUAGUGACAAGAAAUAACAGUACAAGGCAGUUAAAAUGCUUUGUAAUUGGAAUGAUAGAAAUUUAAAUACUUUUUAAAGUAUCAAUUGGAGGGCAAGUCUGGUGCCAGCAGCCGCGGUAAUUCCAGCUCCAAUAGCGUAUAUUAAAAUUGUUGCAGUUAAAAAGCUCGUAGUUGAAUUUUUGCUAAAAAUAACCGGUCUGCUUUUAUUAAUAAAAGUGGUAUCUUGGUGUGUUUUUAGCAAUAAUGUCCUUUGAAAUGUUUUUUACUUUAUUGUAAAAAGCAAUUUUCAGGAUUUUUACUUUGAGAAAAUUAGAGUGUUUCAAGCAGGCUAACGUUUUGAAUACUGCAGCAUGGAAUAAUAAAAUAGGAUUUUAGUUCUACGUUAUUGGUUUUAAGAACUAAAUUAAUGAUUGAUAGGAGCAGUUGGGGGCAUUUGUAUUUAACU
This 585-nucleotide ribosomal RNA is filed under the name Hepatozoon sp. 1 PL-2013. RNAcentral describes it as "bacterial SSU rRNA". It matches the Rfam family "Eukaryotic small subunit ribosomal RNA", at positions 328 to 903 of the family's 1831-position model. The record is from RNAcentral. Lineage: Eukaryota; Apicomplexa; Hepatozoidae.